GUGGGGGCGGGGCGGGGGCGCGGAGGGGGCGUGGGGCGCUCGGAAGAGUCCCCCGCCCCGCGCCAGGCCCGCUCUUGUGCCGGUUCCGCUUUUCCAGGUGCUCGUUUUCUCGCUUGUGCGUUUUGCUUGUUGUUUUUUGUUUUUGUUUUUGUUUUUUUAGUUUUAAAGGUUGCCAGGCAGAGGGUGAAGGAGAAAGUUCGCUCCAAAGAAUGCACGGUCACCCAUUUGUGCCCGCGUCAUCAACGUGGGGACCGAAGCGGCGUCAUCGCCCGCCUGGCGGCCUCCGAGUGGAAAAGUUACAAAGCCUUUCUCAACUAAAGCGCGAACGCGGAGUCGGCGCGUGGUGCCCGGGCCUAGCUUUAAAAUGGGCGGGGUGGGCCAGGCGCUGACCCGGCGGUUCCCGCAGACUCGGCGCCCUCGUCUGCCUUCUCGGGGUGCGGACAGUGCGUCUGCCCCCGGGACGCCCGUGCUGGACGCGAGAGGGGCCGCAGGCCUGUGGGGAGCGCGCGGCCGGAGUGAGCGCCGACAGUGACCGCGCGGCGGCCGGCGACCUCCUCUUCGGGAAGGCUUUUUUCUUCCCCGACCCUUGACCCCCAAGCCCUGUCCCCCUACGCCGCCUCUCUCACGGUGAUUCCCAGCCCCGGCUGCACAUCAGCAUGAACGGAAGUAAACUCGCGACACCCGGACCCCGCCACCUGAGCGCCUUAGCUGGUGUGAGCGGCCGAGCGUUCCUAUUUUCAAGAGUUCCCGGAACGGCCUUAACCACUCCCUCCCGGCCUCCGCCGUCCCGCAGGCGGCGCCCCGGCCUCUCUCCUCAGUCUCUAACCCUCCAAUGGAAGGCUGGGGCUUGCGGCUGCGAAGGUGACUUAGGAACUGCAGAGCUCUUCAACCCCAGGUUCCCAGGUAGAGCAGAGCCACAGCUGACCUGUGAGAUAGUGUGAAACGUGAGUGAGAAAGAAACCUUUGUCGAGGUAACUGCUGAGAUUUGGGCUUGCCACAGUAUAACUCAGCAAAAGCAGACAGGACACUGGUGUGAAUGAGCCACAGAGUUUUAAAAGUUAGAUGGCAUUUUUAAGUAUGAAUGUUUAGGUAUUCAGUAAAGCAGGUCUUUUUUCCAGAGAUCUGCCUAGCUCAUGAUGACUCCCACCUCCAGGUCAGCAUUAACCUAAGAUUACGUAACAGCUUUAUCAAACUAAUUGUAAGAACUGAAGACAUUACUUUUACUGAUAGUCUUGCUGUGGAUAUAUAUGCAAAAAGGUGGGUUUACUUUCUGCAUUAUUUGUGAGUAACUCCAAAGUACAGUUUAAUCAUAAUAUAACAAUUUAUAAAAUUAUGCUUUUUUCUUAUAAAAAGGUGGACUAGGUGCCCACCUUUACAACUAAAAAGAGAAGAUGCUUGGGCAUCUCCUCCAGCCUAAGGGACCUCCUGUGCACCUUCCAAUUGCUGGACUCUUUCAGACUGCUCAGCCCCCUGGGUAGCAGAAUUUAGGGUGGGGUAGAAUAUAAAUAAGUACCCGAAGAGGCCUUUGGUUGGUAGUUUUUUACUUUUAUCUGCAUAACUAAAAUUGCCUUUCCCUAAUCAUAUGACUCCUGACCAGAAAAUAAUGGUAGAAGGGCACUUAUGCUUUUGUCCCUUCUGUUUUCUGGAACUAUUCCAUGUACAAGGUCAUAGUAGAAGCAGCCACCUUGGUACAACCUUGAUACAGCUUGAUCCCUAUCCAUGCCCUCCCCCCUUUCCCAGGACUAGCAUGGAUACCCAGUCACAGGCUUUGUAAAUAAAUCUCUGCAGAAGGAAAAUUCAGAGUAACUGAUGGACAUCCAUUAGUUAUUGCCACCCAGCAUCUAUUUCUCAUUUUCCUGGUAGCAGUUCCCUCUCUUCAGGUCAAAAGCUGAGCUUCUGGGUCCGAGUUCUGGGUCAACUCUCAGCUCUACAGUUUAUUAGCUAUGAGGGCUUCAGUGAAAUGCAUUAACCCGUGACUUAAUUUCCCCAUCUAUAAAAUAGGGAUAAUGUGAUGAUUAAAGUUGUAAACAGAGAAGAUAACCUGAAGUUAUCUAACCUUUAUCAAACCUAAAUGAGUUAACUUAUCCACUUAGAACUGUACCUAGCAAAUAGUAAACUUUAUAUAGCAUUUGCUGUUACUAUUAUGUGUUUGGGAUGGAUAUAACCUCAGGUGACCAGGCAUAUGUCCCAGGCCUGGCCAAUGAGCGUAUUCCAUCCAUCUGGCCGUAGGUGGUUUAGAAGUGAACAUGUGACCCACGCUGGGCUUAACUGGCACCCAUAUCCUGAGACUUCUUGGGACUCUCGGAGAACCAGCCUGUUAGAGAAGGAGAGAAACCUAGAGGACAAAACCAGCAGAGAGUUUAGGCCCUGGUGGAGGGAGGCUGCCUUCUGAUGACAUCAUUCAACCACCUGGAUCCAGCUGGCCUGGAAUUUUUGGUUAUUUGAGCUGUUAAAUUCCCUCCCUAAUUAGCUUAAGCCUGUUGGAGCUGCCUUUGUUUUCUUUUUUGCUUUUUGUUUUUUGUUUUUUUGUCCCCUGCCAAAAAAAAA
Molecule: non-coding RNA, 2547 nt
Organism: Microcebus murinus (gray mouse lemur)
Lineage: Eukaryota; Metazoa; Chordata; Mammalia; Primates; Cheirogaleidae
Source: RefSeq, a predicted model, not a curated record